Molecule: ribosomal RNA, 49 nt
Filed under: Phyllodistomum vaili
Lineage: Eukaryota; Metazoa; Platyhelminthes; Trematoda; Plagiorchiida; Gorgoderidae
Also listed under: 1 other name
Description: partial 28S ribosomal RNA
Source: RNAcentral
CGACCUCGGAUCAGACGUGAAUACCCGCUGAACUUAAGCAUAUCAAUAA